CGCGGGUGAAAUAGGCCCGGGCGCGCCGCCCCCAAGUGGGUGCGGCCUGGGCAGGCGGCGGGAGCAGGGAGGGGCGUUGCGCCCGGGUGGGCCCGCCCGGCCCUUUAAACCUCCGCCUGCGUGGGCGGGGCCGCCGGCAAGGUUGGAGUGGGCAGGCAGGUGGCGGGAGUCUUUGGGCUCCUGCUGCCCUAAAUCUGACCUCAGGAGCCAGGCCCGGAGAGGGUAGGGUAGGGACAUCGGGGGCAGCUGCAGGGCGGUGGGCCCCCAAGGGGCUUCUUUAGGAGGCGGCGGUCAGGCCCGGGAAGAGUCCAUCCCUGAAUUGAACGUGGCAGUGGGGCGGGGUUUUCUCCCCCACCUCCUUCCUUUUCUGGGGUAGUUCUUAACCCAGUGGAAAGGUGGAGGCAAGCAGGGGCCUUGGAAAGGCGAAGGCUGGAAAACAAGGAAAGCCCUGGUGUUCUGCUCGGAGAUUGUCGGCCUAAUCAUUUGUUCUGCGGCUACAUCACCCAGAGGCUGGACCGCGCAGAGGAUCUCUGUCACCUCAUACCUGGCGGGCAUAUGUCUCUGGACCAGGAUAGAGCAGUGAUGAGAAGGAAGGGGAGUGGGGCAUAACGCCCUGAUGCCCAGACAGAUACAUUUCACACCUCGUAAUAAAGGCAGCUUGUAAUGCCUGCAAGAAAUCCUGAAGCCCUAUUCAGAAGCAUGCUCCUUGCUUGUUUAACGUUGCUACCCAAGAACAAUCCUCUAUUGAAGUGCUGGAAUUUUAAGUGGA
Molecule: long non-coding RNA, 769 nt
Organism: Leopardus geoffroyi (Geoffroy's cat)
Lineage: Eukaryota; Metazoa; Chordata; Mammalia; Carnivora; Felidae
Exons: 2
Source: RefSeq, a predicted model, not a curated record